UACGAAGGGGGCUAGCGUUGUUCGGAAUUACUGGGCGUAAAGCGCGCGCAGGCGGCCUUUCAAGUCGGUGGUGAAAUCCCAGAGCUCAACUCUGGAAUUGCCAUCGAAACUGUAAGGCUUGGGUACGGGAGAGGUGAGUGGAAUUCCGAGUGUAGAGGUGAAAUUCGUAGAUAUUCGGAAGAACACCAGUGGCGAAGGCGGCUCACUGGCCCGUUACCGACGCUCAGGCGCGACAGCGUGGGGAGCAAACAGG
This 253-nucleotide non-coding RNA is filed under the name uncultured bacterium. RNAcentral's name for it is "partial 16S ribosomal RNA". It matches the Rfam family "Bacterial small subunit ribosomal RNA", at positions 524 to 776 of the family's 1533-position model. RNAcentral also lists the same sequence under 1 other name. The record is from RNAcentral.